AUGCUUGCGUUAGCAGCACAUUUACUAAAAUUGGAACUAUACAGAGAAAAGAUUAGUAUGGCCCCUGAGCAAGAAUGACUUGCAGAUCUUUGAAGUGUUGCGUAUUUUU
Peromyscus maniculatus bairdii (prairie deer mouse) is the source of this 109-nucleotide small nuclear RNA. Lineage: Eukaryota; Metazoa; Chordata; Mammalia; Rodentia; Cricetidae. The record is from Ensembl.